GACGAACGCUGGCGGCGUGCUUAACACAUGCAAGUCGAACGGAAAGGCCCUGCUUUUGUGGGGUGCUCGAGUGGCGAACGGGUGAGUAACACGUGUGUAACCUGCCCUUGACUUUGGGAUAACUUCAGGAAACUGGGGCUAAUACCGGAUAGGAGCUCCUGCUGCAUGGUGGGGGUUUGAAAGUUUCGGCGGUUGGGGAUGGACUCGCGGCUUAUCAGCUUGUUGGUGGGGUAGUGGCUUACCAAGGCUUUGACGGGUAGCCGGCCUGAGAGGGUGACCGGCCACAUUGGGACUGAGAUACGGCCCAGACUCCUACGGGAGGCAGCAGUGGGGAAUAUUGCACAAUGGGCGGAAGCCUGAUGCAGCAACGCCGCGUGCGGGAUGACGGCCUUCGGGUUGUAAACCGCUUUCGCCUGUGACGAAGCGUGAGUGACGGUAAUGGGUAAAGAAGCACCGGCUAACUACGUG
RNAcentral lists this ribosomal RNA (468 nucleotides) under uncultured bacterium. Its description in RNAcentral is "partial 16S ribosomal RNA". It matches the Rfam family "Bacterial small subunit ribosomal RNA", at positions 28 to 507 of the family's 1533-position model. The record is from RNAcentral.